This 1276-nucleotide long non-coding RNA is filed under the name Coturnix japonica (Japanese quail). RNAcentral describes it as "lncRNA (ENSCJPG00005002911.1)". The record is from RNAcentral. Lineage: Eukaryota; Metazoa; Chordata; Aves; Galliformes; Phasianidae.
CGCUGCCGUCGAUGAUGAUGGUUGUGAUCCUGUCGUCCCUUAUUUCCUUCAGCAGCGACGUCGGAUCCUGCUCCUCGUCCAGGACUCGAACCGACAGCGACUCGCGCGAGAUCAGGAACUGCCGCACCAGGUCCUCGAGGCGCAGGAGACCUGGGGGCACAACCACAACCACAACCAUUAGAACCAGCAUUAAUCAGCAUCAGCACUGCCCCCAUUCACCCCAUUCACCCCCAUUCGUCUUCAUUCAUCCCCAUCACCCCCUAUCCCCAUUCACCCCCAUUCAUCCCCAUCGCCCCCUACCCCCAUUCGUCUCCUUCCAUCCCCAUCCAUCCCCAUUUGCCCCCAUUCAUUUCAAUCCAUCCCCAUUCAUCCCCAUUCAUCCCCAUCCAUCCUCAUCCAUCCCCAUUCACCCCCAUUUGUCUUCAUUCAUCCCCAUCCAUCCUCAUCCAUCCCCAUUCAUUUCCAUUCAUCCCCAUUGCCCCCCAUCCCCUCACUGUCCCCAUUCACCCCCAUUCACCCCCAUUCAUCCCCAUCCAUCCCCAUUCGCCCCCAUUCAUCCCCAUCCAUCCCCAUCCAUCCCCAUUCACCCCCAUUCAUUUCCAUCCAUCUUCAUUCAUCCCCAUAACCCCCUACCCCCAUUCACCCCCAUUCAUCCCCAUCGCCCCCUACCCCCAUUCGUCCCCAUCCAUCCCCAUCAUCCCCAUCAUCCCCAUCCAUCCCCAUUCGUCCCCAUCCAUCCCCAUCCAUCCCCAUUCAUCCCCAUCCAUCCUCAUCCAUCCCCAUUCAUUUCCAUUCAUCCCCACUCAUCCCCAUCACCCAUCCCCAUUAACCCCCAUUCACCCCCAUUCAUUUCCAUUCAUCCCCAUUGCCCCCAUUCCCCUCACUGUCCCCAUUCAUCUUCAUUCACCCCCAUUCAUUUCCAUCCAUCCCCAUUCCCCUCACUGUCCCCAUUCACCCCAUCCAUCCCCAUUUGUCUUCAUUCAUCCCCAUCGCCCCCUAUCCCCAUUCACCCCCAUGCCUCCCAUCCCCAUUCACCCCCACUCAUCCCCAUCUAUCCCCAUUCACCCCCAUUCAACCCAUCCCCAUUAACCCCCAUUCACCCCCAUUCACCUCCAUUCAUCCCCAUCCAUCCCCAUUCCCCACACUGCCCCCAUUCAUCCCCAUUCGUCCUCAUUCAUCCCCAUCCAUCCCCAUUCACCCCCAUUCAUUUCCAUUCAUCUCCAUCCAUCCCCAUUUGCCUCCAUUCACCCCCAUCCAUCUCCAUUCACCCCCAUUC